This 405-nucleotide ribosomal RNA is filed under the name Microbacterium sp. oral taxon 186. Its description in RNAcentral is "bacterial SSU rRNA". It matches the Rfam family "Bacterial small subunit ribosomal RNA", at positions 28 to 429 of the family's 1533-position model. Lineage: Bacteria; Bacillati; Actinomycetota; Actinomycetes; Micrococcales; Microbacteriaceae. The record is from RNAcentral.
GAUGAACGCUGGCGGCGUGCUUAACACAUGCAAGUCGAACGGUGAAGCCCAGCUUGCUGGGUGGGUCAGUGGCGAACGGGUGAGUAACACGUGAGCAAUCUGCCCCUGACUCUGGGAUAAGCGCUGGAAACGGCGUCUAAUACUGGAUACGAACCGUGGAGGCAUCUUCAACGGUUGGAAAGAUUUUUUGGUCAGGGAUGAGCUCGCGGCCUAUCAGCUUGUUGGUGAGGUAAUGGCUCACCAAGGCGUCGACGGGUACUCCGGCCUGAGAGGGUGACCGGCCACACUGGGACUGAGACACGGCCCAGACUCCUACGGGAGGCAGCAGUGGGGAAUAUUGCACAAUGGGCGAAAGCCCUGAUGCAGCAACGCCGCGUGAGGGAUGACGGCCUUUCGGGUUGUAAA